RNAcentral lists this ribosomal RNA (468 nucleotides) under uncultured bacterium. RNAcentral describes it as "partial 16S ribosomal RNA". It matches the Rfam family "Bacterial small subunit ribosomal RNA", at positions 28 to 507 of the family's 1533-position model. The record is from RNAcentral.
GACGAACGCUGGCGGCGUGCUUAACACAUGCAAGUCGAACGGUGAAGCUCCAGCUUGCUGGAUUGUAUCAGUGGCGAACGGGUGAGUAACACGUGAGCAACCUGCCCCUGACUCUUGAAUAAGCGCUGGAAACGGCGUCUAAUACUGGAUACUAGAAGGGUCCGCAUGGGCACUUUCUGGAAAGUUUUUCGGUUGGGGAUGGGCUCGCGGCCUAUCAGCUUGUUGGUGAGGUAAUGGCUCACCAAGGCGACGACGGGUAGCCGGCCUGAGAGGGCGACCGGGCACACUGGGACUGAGACACGGGACAGAGUCGUACGGGAGGCAGCAGUGGGGAAGAUUGCACAAUGGGCGAAAGCCUGAUGCAGCGACGACGCGUGAGGGAUGAAGGCCUUCGGGGUGUAAACAUCUUGCAGCAGGGAAGAAGCGAAAGUGACGGUACCUGCAGAAGAAGCACCGGCUAACUACGUG